This 440-nucleotide ribosomal RNA is filed under the name uncultured bacterium. Its description in RNAcentral is "partial 16S ribosomal RNA". It matches the Rfam family "Bacterial small subunit ribosomal RNA", at positions 338 to 795 of the family's 1533-position model. The record is from RNAcentral.
CCUACGGGUGGCAGCAGUGGGGAAUAUUGCACAAUGGGGGAAACCCUGAUGCAGCGACGCCGCGUGAAGGAAGAAGUAUUUCGGUAUGUAAACUUCUAUCAGCAGGGAAGAAAAUGACGGUACCUGACUAAGAAGCCCCGGCUAACUACGUGCCAGCAGCCGCGGUAAUACGUAGGGGGCAAGCGUUAUCCGGAUUUACUGGGUGUAAAGGGAGCGUAGGCGGUAAUGCAAGUCAGAAGUGAAAGCCCGGGGCUCAACUCCGGGACUGCUUUUGAAACUGUGUUGCUAGAUUGCAGGAGAGGUAAGUGGAAUUCCUAGUGUAGCGGUGAAAUGCGUAGAUAUUAGGAGGAACACCAGUGGCGAAGGCGGCCUGCUGGGCUUUUACUGACGCUGAGGCUCGAAAGUGUGGGGAGCAAACAGGAUUAGAUACCCGUGUAGUC